UGAACCAGAUUGCUCAGUGCAUGGGAAAGGAGACAGAUCUCUAAAAUGCAUCUUCAGGAGUCCAGUCGCGAAGUCCUAGUUAGGAUAUUCAUUCUCGUUGGACAUGAAUUGAAAGAUAAACCCAGGUUUAGGUCUGUAGGAGAAGAGUCUUCCUAAAAAUCACUGUGGCUUUCAAAUUCAGUGUUGCAUUUUUGUCUCACAGAUGUUAGAAAGUAUGUUUCCAAGGUAGGCCUUUUACUAGGGCUUACAUUGGAAAGUGGCAUUUUGUCUCCUACAUAACAUUUCUUUAUCCUUUCCUUGAAGAUGGAUGCACACAUUCAUAUACACACACACUCUCUCUGUCUUUCUCUCUCUCUCACACACACACCCUUUUUUGUAACUGCAUUGGUAUCUCUGAUCCCGUAAUUUAUGUCAGCAAAAAAUAUUCUCCUGUAAAGCAGCAAUUUUAUGAUCAGACUGGUAAUAUGAAAACAGCAAUUUGAUCAAAUAGAAAGGAUCGAAGAAAAAUAAAUCUAGACGGAUGUUUGACGUACAUAUUAUAACAGCAUGGUAAUAGUUUCGAUUUUUUUUUUUUUAUUUUCUUGAUGGUGAAGCCCAAACAUAAUAUCUAUCGCUUCUAUUUUAGUGGCAAAAAUGAACUGCAAAUGUAGAAACUUGUUCUGCAGAAUUCUCAUUAACGUGUGUGCAAAAGUAGACAUUGAGACACGGGGAAAGAGCUGUGUAGCAGUAAACAAUAUGGUCUUAUUUCCCUCCUUUCUGUUAUAAAUUUGAACAGUUUCUUACCUUUCUCUGAGGUUAUAACUGGUGCACUUCAGCAGAAAUCUAUGUCAAGUUCAAGUUCUUCUCACAACAUCAAUACUACUGUUCCAGGUCCACCUAGGAUUCCUCGUCCUCACCCUAAUUCCUCAGCAACCUUAAUACACUUAUCAACUUUCCAGUUUUCUAUGGAUAUGAAGAUUUACUUCUAGUCAUCACUGGGACCCCAUGAAGUCAGCCAGAAAGCCUAUGUCCAACUUAUGUACCUUUGCAAACUUGUCUGGAUUUUGAAUGUAUGUGCAAAACAGAUUGUAUUUAGGUAUUCAUUAAACAUCUAUUGAGCAUCUACUGUCUGUCAGGCACAGUGCUAGGCAUCUGAGAAACAAGGAUGGUCCCUACAGUUUAAUGUGAAGAGAUGUUUUAAUUGUAUUCCACAAGUAUAUUGAUCAUGACUUUAUUUUGAUGUUUCUUCCUAAAUAAGUUUUAUAUCAACUAAAUGGAUACUGUUAGGUGUAAAAAAAAUGCAUGUUUAAGAAGGAUUUUGCUGUAUUUUAUUAAAAUAGAAAAAUAUAAAGAAAAAUUUUCCACUUAAUACUGUAUUCUGGGGAUUUCUAUUCUGUGUAUAACUCAUUAAUUUUAGACCGUAAAAUUAGUGUAUGUGGCUAUCAUUGCUAGUAUUUUAUUGAUGAAUACUUUUAUUUGAAGGUUAUCAACAUUGUUCAUUGAAGUAUCUCAUUAAAUUAUUCCCCUGCAAAAACAAAA
Long non-coding RNA from Canis lupus familiaris (dog), 1518 nucleotides. RefSeq lists it as uncharacterized. The transcript has 2 exons. Lineage: Eukaryota; Metazoa; Chordata; Mammalia; Carnivora; Canidae. The record is from RefSeq and is a predicted model, not a curated record.